GAUGAACGCUGGCGGCGUGCUUAACACAUGCAAGUCGAACGGAAAGGCCCAAGCUUGCUUGGGUACUCGAGUGGCGAACGGGUGAGUAACACGUGGGUGAUCUGCCCUGCACUUCGGGAUAAGCCUGGGAAACUGGGUCUAAUACCGGAUAGGACCACAUUUUGGAUGGUGUGGUGGAAAGUUUUUCGGUGUGGGAUGAGCUCGCGGCCUAUCAGCUUGUUGGUGGGGUAAUGGCCUACCAAGGCGUCGACGGGUAGCCGGCCUGAGAGGGUGUACGGCCAAAUUGGGACUGAGAUACGGCCCAGACUCCUACGGGAGGCAGCAGUGGGGAAUAUUGCACAAUGGGCGCAAGCCUGAUGCAGCGACGCCGCGUGGGGGAUGACGGCCUUCGGGUUGGAAACUCCGUUCGCUAGGGACGAAGCGUUAUGUGACGGUACCUGGAGAAGAAGCACCGGCUAACUACGUG
RNAcentral lists this ribosomal RNA (466 nucleotides) under uncultured bacterium. Its description in RNAcentral is "partial 16S ribosomal RNA". It matches the Rfam family "Bacterial small subunit ribosomal RNA", at positions 28 to 507 of the family's 1533-position model. The record is from RNAcentral.